RNAcentral lists this ribosomal RNA (515 nucleotides) under Dothideomycetes sp. 4-7. RNAcentral's name for it is "eukaryotic LSU rRNA". The stretch from base 211 to 364 matches the Rfam family "5.8S ribosomal RNA". Lineage: Eukaryota; Fungi; Ascomycota; Dothideomycetes. The record is from RNAcentral.
UCUUGGUCCAUUAGAGGAAGUAAAAGUCGUAACAAGGUUUCCGUAGGUGAACCUGCGGAAGGAUCAUUACCUAGAGUUGUAGGCUUUGCCUGCUAUCUCUUACCCAUGUCUUUUGAGUACCUUACGUUUCCUCGGUGGGUUCGCCCACCGAUUGGACAAAUUUAAACCCUUUGCAGUUGAAAUCAGCGUCUGAAAAAACUUAAUAGUUACAACUUUCAACAACGGAUCUCUUGGUUCUGGCAUCGAUGAAGAACGCAGCGAAAUGCGAUAAGUAGUGUGAAUUGCAGAAUUCAGUGAAUCAUCGAAUCUUUGAACGCACAUUGCGCCCCUUGGUAUUCCAUGGGGCAUGCCUGUUCGAGCGUCAUUUGUACCUUCAAGCUCUGCUUGGUGUUGGGUGUUUGUCUCCUGUAGACUCGCCUCAAAACAAUUGGCAGCCGGCGUAUUGAUUUCGGAGCGCAGUACAUCUCGCGCUUUGCACUCAUAACGACGACAUCCAAAAGUACAUUUUUACACUC